Molecule: ribosomal RNA, 497 nt
Filed under: uncultured bacterium
Lineage: Bacteria
Description: partial 16S ribosomal RNA
Rfam family: Bacterial small subunit ribosomal RNA
Source: RNAcentral
GAUGAACGCUGGCGGCGUGCCUAAUACAUGCAAGUCGAGCGAACGGACGAGAAGCUUGCUUCUCUGAUGUUAGCGGCGGACGGGUGAGUAACACGUGGAUAACCUACCUAUAAGACUGGGAUAACUUCGGGAAACCGGAGCUAAUACCGGAUAAUAUUUUGAACCGCAUGGUUCAAAGGUGAAAGACGGUCUUGCUGUCACUUAUAGAUGGAUCCGCGCUGCAUUAGCUAGUUGGUAAGGUAACGGCUUACCAAGGCAACGAUGCAUAGCCGACCUGAGAGGGUGAUCGGCCACACUGGAACUGAGACACGGUCCAGACUCCUACGGGAGGCAGCAGUAGGGAAUCUUCCGCAAUGGGCGAAAGCCUGACGGAGCAACGCCACGUGAGUGAUGAAGGUCUUCGGAUCGUAAAACUCUGUUAUUAGGGAAGAACAUAUGUGUAAGUAACUGUGCACAUCUUGACGGUACCUAAUCAGAAAGCCACGGCUAACUACGUG